UGUCCUCCAUAGGAGGUCUAUAUCGAGCAGAUUCUUUUUGGUAUUGGGUGGUGGAACCGGAGCGUGCUCCAUCCACUCCAUGCAUUGACCUGGUAUUGCAGUGCUUCCAGGACCGGUGC
Molecule: small nuclear RNA, 119 nt
Filed under: Crocodylus porosus (Australian saltwater crocodile)
Lineage: Eukaryota; Metazoa; Chordata; Crocodylia; Crocodylidae
Description: U2 spliceosomal RNA (ENSCPRG00005000994.1)
Rfam family: U2 spliceosomal RNA
About the family: U2 is a small nuclear RNA (snRNA) component of the spliceosome (involved in pre-mRNA splicing).
Source: RNAcentral